AGAGUUUGAUCAUGGCUCAGGAUGAACGCUAGCGACAGGCUUAACACAUGCAAGUCGAGGGGCAGCACAGGUAGCAAUACCGGGUGGCGACCGGCGCACGGGUGAGUAACGCGUAUGCAACUUGCCUAUCAGAGGGGGAUAACCCGGCGAAAGUCGGACUAAUACCGCAUGAAGCAGGGGCCCCGCAUGGGGAUAUUUGCUAAAGGUUCAUCGCUGAUAGAUAGGCAUGCGUUCCAUUAGGCAGUUGGCGGGGUAACGGCCCACCAAACCGACGAUGGAUAGGGGUUCUGAGAGGAAGGUCCCCCACAUUGGUACUGAGACACGGACCAAACUCCUACGGGAGGCCA
RNAcentral lists this ribosomal RNA (347 nucleotides) under uncultured bacterium. RNAcentral's name for it is "bacterial SSU rRNA". It matches the Rfam family "Bacterial small subunit ribosomal RNA", at positions 8 to 351 of the family's 1533-position model. The record is from RNAcentral.